RNAcentral lists this small RNA (78 nucleotides) under Xanthomonas phaseoli pv. phaseoli. RNAcentral's name for it is "sX9 sRNA". It matches the Rfam family "Xanthomonas sRNA sX9". Lineage: Bacteria; Pseudomonadati; Pseudomonadota; Gammaproteobacteria; Lysobacterales; Lysobacteraceae. The record is from RNAcentral. RNAcentral also lists the same sequence under 2 other names.
AUGUCCCGCGCCUACACUGCGAUGUGCGAUCGCGCUGGCCACGCCCACCCGACGACUGCUCGCUACGUUACGUUCUCC